CCUACGGGUGGCAGCAGUGGGGGAUAUUGCACAAUGGGGGAAACCCUGAUGCAGCGACGCCGCGUGGGUGAAGAAGCGCCUCGGCGCGUAAAGCCCUUUCAGCAGGGAAGAAAAUGACGGUACCUGUAGAAGAAGCCACGUCUAACUACGUGCCAGCAGCCGCGGUAAUACGUAGGGGGCAAGCGUUAUCCGGAUUUACUGGGUGUAAAGGGGGCGCAGACGGCGAUGCAAGCCAGGAGUGAAAGACCGGGGCCCAACCCCGGGACUGCCCUUGGAACUGCGUGGCUAGAGUGCAGGAGGGGCAGGCGGAAUUCCUGGUGUAGCGGUGAAAUGCGUAGAUAUCAGGAGGAACACCGGUGGCGAAGGCGGCCUGCUGGACUGCAACUGACGUUGAGGCCCGAAAGCGUGGGGAGCAAACAGGAUUAGAUACCCCAGUAGUC
RNAcentral lists this ribosomal RNA (440 nucleotides) under uncultured bacterium. RNAcentral's name for it is "partial 16S ribosomal RNA". It matches the Rfam family "Bacterial small subunit ribosomal RNA", at positions 338 to 795 of the family's 1533-position model. The record is from RNAcentral.